UCCCUGGUGGCUCAGAUGGUAAAGCAUCUGCCUACAAUGCAGGAGACCUGGGUUCAAUCCCUGGGUUAGGAA
This is a non-coding RNA of Bos taurus (domestic cattle), 72 nucleotides long. NCBI's taxonomy places the organism in Eukaryota, Metazoa, Chordata, Mammalia, Artiodactyla, Bovidae. The record is from Rfam.